UUUUGCUACAGUAGCAAGGAAAUGUUAGGAAAAGGCAAAUGAAUUUCAGUAGCCUCUUGAAAAGCCACUCCAAAGCCCAGCCUGUUUGAGGACUUUUGUUUCAUGUUGGUGGCCUGUGGCACUAGAUGUUCAUAAGGUUUUACCCUUAGCCCUCCUUGGCUAAGGGGUUCUAGAGAAAUGGAUUCUGGCCACUUUCCAGUGACAUACCUCAAUGAGGCUCUCACAGUGCAAAAACCUUGGCUUUUAAGAUUUUUCCAGAAAUUUAAUCUGAGCAUUAGGAGCCUGGGGAUGAUGCCUUGGGACCGUAAGACAAAUCAACCCCCCCAGCAUUGCAUGGAAUAUCACUGUGACAGCAGUUUAGAGGUGGCAGUCUAAAGAGCAACUGGUUGCUUUUCUACAAACAAGCAGCAAAAUGCUGAUUUUGGCAUAAUGGAGUGAUGGCAUCAGCCUGUUCCUGUCCUUAAACUAUUGUUACUCUUGGAGGUCAGAGCAUGCCUCAGUUAUCCACAGCUUAUAUUGGCUUUUUCCAAUUUAAAACCAACUAUUAGAAAACAGCUAUUGAUUUAUUUUUUUUUUAUGGUUGGUUUUGGCUUUUUUUGGAAGCCAGUAGGUGAAUAUGUUACCUUUCAAAAGAUGCUUAAACAUGAAAGGUCUUG
Molecule: long non-coding RNA, 656 nt
Organism: Strigops habroptila (Kakapo)
Lineage: Eukaryota; Metazoa; Chordata; Aves; Psittaciformes; Psittacidae
Exons: 3
Source: RefSeq, a predicted model, not a curated record